CUUCCUUCCUCAUCUUAGCCGCCAUACUCUUUUCUCUGUUCGAUCCCCUCCUUGUCUAGUCGCCAUACUCAUCAACCAUGACAUUCUUCUUUUCCUUUCCCAUUGUUAGAGCUUUUCAGCCACUGCAAGACACUCUUCUUCCUUUGAUUUUGGGAGCUCAGCCACGAGCUUCAUAGCCCAAACUCCUCUAUCCAAACUACCCUGUUGCUCUCCUCACCUAUAUUGGUUUCCUCUUGGUUGUUUUAGGUCUCUCUUGGCCGAUUUGAGUCUUGACUAUUUUUAAGGACAACAGAUUGUUGGAUGAUUUUACUGGUAUUUUUAGAGGGAACCAAACAGAGUGGUUGCAGAGUCAAUGUUGAUCAGAGUAUUGACAAAUUCAAAUUUUAAACUUUUGUAAGGGCUUCCCAAUAUGAUAGAAGUGAUGCCAAUUACAAAUGCAAUGUCAGUGAAGGGUCCUGUAGCAUGCAAAUUUUAUUCCCUAAGGGAAAUGUAGCUGUCUUAACCAAUCUUGGUUCUGAUCAGGUUGUUGAUUGCCGAAUUUGUGGUGAUCCAAACUCAGUACUUCGAUUUGUCUUCAUUGAGUUCACUGAUGAAGGUUGCUCAAGCUGAUGUUAAACUCUUUUUUGAAUCAGUCUGUGGAGAGGUUUAUCGCCUAAGGCUGCUUGGGGACUAUCAUCAUUCUACUCGUAUUGCCUUUGUUGAGUUUGUAAUGAAAUUAGGGAAGGUCUAUUGUGACAAGUAAGGUUUUCAGAUGACCAUGAAGGUUAGGUUGUGUGGCAGCCCCAUAGUUUGCUCCCAUGAGGUCUGACCGCUGACCAUAUAUGAAGGAAGAAAGUAGCUUGUAGUGACCACAUUGACCAUAGGCCCUCAUCUUCUGUAAUAUAUUAAUAAAUCACCAAGGCUUCUGUCUUUCUUUAGGAUCAUUUUUUCAUCCUUGGCAUACGAGAGGAAGCAAUAACUAUUGAUUUUUCAUCUCACUUGGAUGUGACCUUUCCUACCACUUUUAAGUUUUCACGGA
Molecule: RNA transcript, 1018 nt
Organism: Humulus lupulus (European hop)
Lineage: Eukaryota; Viridiplantae; Streptophyta; Magnoliopsida; Rosales; Cannabaceae
Exons: 7
Source: RefSeq, a predicted model, not a curated record